GAUGAACGCUGGCGGCGUGCCUAAUACAUGCAAGUCGAGCGAACAGACGAGGAGCUUGCUCCUCUGACGUUAGCGGCGGACGGGUGAGUAACACGUGGAUAACCUACCUAUAAGACUGGGAUAACUUCGGGAAACCGGAGCUAAUACCGGAUAAUAUAUUGAACCGCAUGGUUCAAUAGUGAAAGACGGUUUUGCUGUCACUUAUAGAUGGAUCCGCGCCGCAUUAGCUAGUUGGUAAGGUAACGGCUUACCAAGGCGACGAUGCGUAGCCGACCUGAGAGGGUGAUCGGCCACACUGGAACUGAGACACGGUCCAGACUCCUACGGGAGGCAGCAGUAGGGAAUCGUCCGCAAUGGGCGAAAGCCUGGCGGAGCAACGCCGCGUGAGUGAUGAAGGUCUUCGGAUCGUAAAACUCUGUUAUUAGGGAAGAACAAAUGUGUAAGUAACUAUGCACGUCUUGACGGUACCUAAUCAGAAAGCCACGGCUAACUACGUG
This 497-nucleotide ribosomal RNA is filed under the name uncultured bacterium. RNAcentral describes it as "partial 16S ribosomal RNA". It matches the Rfam family "Bacterial small subunit ribosomal RNA", at positions 28 to 507 of the family's 1533-position model. The record is from RNAcentral.